RNAcentral lists this ribosomal RNA (439 nucleotides) under uncultured bacterium. RNAcentral describes it as "partial 16S ribosomal RNA". It matches the Rfam family "Bacterial small subunit ribosomal RNA", at positions 339 to 795 of the family's 1533-position model. The record is from RNAcentral.
CUACGGGCCGCACCAGUGGGGAAUAUUGCACAAUGGAGGAAACUCUGAUGCAGCAACGCCGCGUGGAGGAUGACACUUUUCGGAGCGUAAACUCCUUUUAUAUAGGAAGAAGAUGACGGUACUAUAUGAAUAAGCGCCGGCUAACUCCGUGCCAGCAGCCGCGGUAAUACGGAGGGCGCAAGCGUUACUCGGAAUCACUGGGCGUAAAGAGCGUGUAGGCGGAUUAAAAAGUCAGAAGUGAAAUCCUAUAGCUUAACUAUAGAACUGCUUCUGAAACUCUUAAUCUAGAAUAUGGGAGAGGUAGUUGGAAUUUCUGGUGUAGGGGUAAAAUCCGUAGAGAUCAGAAGGAAUACCGAUUGCGAAGGCGAUCUACUAGAACAUUAUUGACGCUGAGACGCGAAAGCGUGGGGAGCAAACAGGAUUAGAUACCCGCGUAGUC